GCAUACAGCCGUGCCACUCUGAACGUGCCCGAUCUCGUCUGAUCUCGGAAGCUAAGCAGGGCCGGGCCUGGUUAGUACUUGAAUGGGAGACCACCUAGGAAUAGCAGUUGCUGCAGGCG
Molecule: ribosomal RNA, 119 nt
Organism: Pteropus vampyrus (large flying fox)
Lineage: Eukaryota; Metazoa; Chordata; Mammalia; Chiroptera; Pteropodidae
Source: Ensembl